Molecule: non-coding RNA, 2210 nt
Organism: Salvia hispanica
Lineage: Eukaryota; Viridiplantae; Streptophyta; Magnoliopsida; Lamiales; Lamiaceae
Source: RefSeq, a predicted model, not a curated record
ACCUUCCUUGGUAGAAUUAAUCGCAGCAAAACACUUUCCCUCAAUCAUUGAGUUUGAGAUGGAUGAUGAACGCAGAGGUGUGUUGUCAAUCUUAAGCGGAGGAGACGGAUGGCUGACUUGUAUUCUUCAAUAACAGAUUUCAAGCAGAAUUUGGGUGAAGAGGCUUUGAUACAUGAGGAAUUAGCAGGAGGAUGGGUUUUGUAUGAGAAACCAUUAAGCCAACUCAAAAUCAUGUCUCUGCUCAGAUUCAUUGCAUCGCCAAGCAAUUGGAUGGUACACUUCCAUUGUUUGAUGCAAUUUUGGAGAGUCGUGAAAGUGGAAGGGAGCCAUCACUACCUCUCUUGUUCACACCAUCCUUUUUAUGUUAGAAACUCUCAACAAGGGAUUAUGUAGGCUCAGGAAGCUAUGUAUCGAUCAGCAGUAUGUUGCCGGAGGAGAUGACGGAGCAGCAGCUUGGAGGCGUGGGACGGGUGUACCGGAACAGGCUACCCGAAUCCACACCGGAUCUGAGACUAUACUCCACCCAUGAAUUUCCGAUGCGGGAUGAAGCUGCUCGCUGCGGUUUCAGAGCUUACAUGGCACUGCCUCUAUUUGAUUCCCACACAUAUCAAUACUAUGGUGUGUUGGAGAUCUUUCAAGGAUAUAAUUCUCUUCAUAUGAUGAAUCAUUUACUAUCUCUGCUGGAUGGAGCACUGCAGUUCGCAGGGUUGAGAUCCAAUCACAAAUCCAUUGCUAUUACAAAAGAAAUGAGGCAGCCUGGAAGUGAAAUAUCAGAGGUACUUGAAUUGGCUAUGGCAGACAAUCCCGCGAAUAUAUCUGGCACAAGUUUGGAUCCCUUGUAACAAGCAAUGUGUUAACAUCCACCAACUUAUGCUGCAUGGAGAUGGUAUCCUUCAUAGAUUCUGAAACUAAGAUAUUCAAUUCGUGGUUUGAUAUUGAUAAUGAUAUGCAUGACUAUCUUCAAGCUUGUGAAUUUCACAAGCUUCAAAUAGAUCUUCACAGUUGCCAUUCAACUUUAUGUGGUCUCACUAUAUCUGAAAAUUCGAUGGCUCACUAUGUCCAACGGGCUAGGAUGUCUCAUUGUAUUGCAGUUUCUCAUCAGAGCAAUGACAAUAAACUACGUCAUUCAAAUUUUUCUUCGACCAAAGUAUACACGAGAUGAUCAUUCUCUACACUUGCUGUUAAGGAUACUGGAGAUCAAUCUCAAGAGUGUGAGUGUAAUGUUUGUAUCUGGAAAAUCACUUCUAGAGGAAUAUGUAAGGCCUGAUGCAAUUGAAUGCGAGUCAAUUGAUAGUUUCAGUUUGAUCAAGUCUUACAAGCAAAACCUUUUGGAGUUGGACAUGACAACAUACUUGAAGACGGUCGACUCAUGUUGCCUAAAACCUUCCUCUGCGGGUACAGACAAAGGAUGGGUUUUUUGCUUGCCAGUUGAACAAAGUGUAUGCGAAGAACAUGUUGAAAGUAACUCGUCGUUGGUCAAGGAGAAGAUGGAAGGUUUAAUGGAGAAAAUAGCAACAAAAUCUUGGAAACACAAUAAUUGGAUAGUCCAAUUUUGGGUCCCAAAAUGGAGAAUGAUAGGUGUUGUCUGAAAACUUCAGAUCAACCUUAUGCUGUUGGCUGUCUUACAAAGGGUGUAGCUUCCUUUAGGAAACAAUGUAUGGAAAAUUACUAUUUUGUUGACGACAAAGCCAAACAAGAUGAACUCGGACCCCCUGGACGUGUCUUCAGAUUCAAACAUCCUGAAAUUAGCCCUGACCUCUUCUACUACACUAGAGAAGAAUUUCCAAUAAGAAACUUUGCUAUGCUUUGUUGCAAUCGUGGAUACUUGGCUUUGCCUGUAUUUGAGAAUGAAGGUAUAGGAAAUCACAAGAUUGUGGGUGUGCUAGAGUUCCUAGGAUUUUAUUAUUCUGACCUUCCAAUCAUCAAAAACUAAUGGAGGUAUCAUCUCUUGCCAUUUUUGACUUGUUAUUAUAUACUAAAAUUGUUGUGAAAACAAUGUACCUGUCAAUGCAGGCAACAAAACUAUGCUCGACUCACAUAGACUACCACCCGGGAUUCUUAGCAAAUGAACUGUCAAUGUCAAUAUUUUCAAUGGCGCGGAAAAAGCUUUGACCGAAAUCGAUCAUGUCCUUAACAUAAUCAACCCAUUCCCCAACUCCAUAUGGCAAAUGUUUGGGUCCCUACGGGAGAUUGUGGUAGUACUACUAAUA